GGCGAAGGCACAGGAGCGCGGGUUCCGUCCCCUCCCUCCCCCACAAGUCGGUUCCUGAAAAGGGAGGAGGAGCAGGAGAUGUCAGUCAUCAGUGGAACUUCAAAGGACGCAGUACCCAUGCCUCUGCUUUCUGCCUCCCAAGGGUGUCCCCACACUGUGGGAAACUGGGUAGAGAUGUCUCUGUGGGUGUCAGGACUAAGACCCGCGGCAGCCACGGCCUAGCCUCGGUGCCGCAGCGCCACGUGGGCCGCGCGCCCUGGCCUGAGAGGGAACCUGUGACAGGUGCGUGGGCCCUCGCGUCGCCGAGUGUGCGCGCAUGAGGCUGGGAGCGCCUGGAGUGACCGCGUUUGCCUGCGCUUGACUGAGAUGGCCUUUUCUGCUUUCAUGACUGAACGCUAUGAGGAGGAAUAAGUUGUGUCUUAGAAAAACACCGUCAACCUUUUAGCAUUUCCAAAGACACAACUUAAAAAUAUUCCGCCAACUGCAGAUGGUUUGCCCGUGAAUGAACAAGGAAGGUGGUGCAUGUAAGGGACAGUUGUCACUCAUGCUUUUGUCCCUCUGGAGAAGACCACUGUCACCUGGAGUACAGAACAUCGUUGUAGACAUUGGAGAUGAUGCUGUCUGUUCAGCUGCUGAGAAAGCUUGUAGACAAAAGACUGGGACUUCCUAUGAUAGAAUGGGUAAAAUUAUCCAGAACUGCCAAAAUUACACAUCAACUUUCUUGAGCACCCACUGUGAGACAUAGUAUGCACACUGGUUAAGAGCUGGACUGUGGAAACAGAUGGCCUGGGUGAGUAACGUGGAGCAAACCACUCAACACUUGAUGCCUUGGUUUAUUAUUCUGUAUAAUGGAGGUGAUUAUUGCAUGAACCUCAUGAGGCUGUUGUGAGGAUUACAUGAGUUGGUAAAUGGAAAAGUGCUUAAGACCUGCCAAGCCCAUGGCAGGCUCCAUAUAAAGGUUAACUGUGAUUGUUCUUCUUCUUCUUAUCAUUGUUACUAUUGUUACUUUGUUCCCUUAUCCUGGUCAAGGUUCUGCUAUGGCUACAUACUUUCAGGAAGUCUACUCCUAAAUAUACCACCAGGAUGGACUUGAUUUUGCGGCCUCUGUAGCUACUAACACGUGAAGGAUGUGCUGCUAGAAUUUGUAGUUACUGGAGAUGAUGUAUAUUUCCUGAAUUCUCAAUGGAUCUUGUAUUUUUCAGUUGUACUACAGUUGUACUAUACUAAGGAGACUGCUCACAUUAAAAUCCUUAGGAAAUAACAAAAAAGCAUUUUCAAAAGUGUUACUCAACACAUCCAACAUUUUGACAUUAUUCUAUAGAUAAUAUGAAAAGAGACGUGUUUGAAGACCUAUAAUUUACUCAUCAAAGAAAGGACUGAAAAUAAGGCUAAAAAAUAAUGAAAGGUAUAUUUUCUAUGUAAAGUUCACAUAAAAAAUCCUUAGCACCUGUGUUCUUCCUAUUUGGUGUUUGAAAGAGCCCAAAGCAGUAACAUUUAUAGAUUAACAAUCCCACAGCAUUCACCGGUCACAGGGAGAGUCGUUCAGUUCAAAUUCACGUCAGCAGGUUUAUAUGGUAG
Molecule: long non-coding RNA, 1578 nt
Organism: Equus asinus (donkey)
Lineage: Eukaryota; Metazoa; Chordata; Mammalia; Perissodactyla; Equidae
Source: Ensembl